GCCGCGGUACUUGACCGUGCGAAGGUAGCGCAAUCACUUGUCUUUUAAAUGAAGACCUGUAUGAAUGGCAAGACGAGGGCUUAACUGUCUCCUUUUUCCAGUCAAUGAAAUUGAUCUUCCCGUGCAGAAGCGGGAAUAAUAUCAUAAGACGAGAAGACCCUGUGGAGCUUUAGACACUAAAUCAGCCCUUGUCCAAAAUCCCAAUUAAAGGAAUGAACACUAGAGUGAGACCUGAUCUAAUGUCUUCGGUUGGGGCGACCUUGGGGAAAGAAAAAUCCCCCAUGCGGAACGGAAAUACUAUGCUUCCAAAACUAAGAGAAACCACUCAAAGUAUCAAAAAUUUUGACCCACUAUAUGAUCCGGCCUUAACGCCGAUCAACGGACCGAGUUACCCCAGGGAUAACAGCGCAAUCCUCUUUUAGAGCCCAUAUCGACAAGAGGGUUUACGACCUCGAUGUUGGAUCAGGACAUCCUAAUGGUGCAGCCGCUAUUAAGGGUUCGUUUGUUCAACGAUUAAAGUCCU
Molecule: ribosomal RNA, 523 nt
Filed under: Amphiprion sandaracinos (yellow clownfish)
Lineage: Eukaryota; Metazoa; Chordata; Actinopteri; Pomacentridae
Description: partial 16S ribosomal RNA
Rfam family: Bacterial large subunit ribosomal RNA
Source: RNAcentral